ACUCCUACGGGAGGCAGCAGUGGGGAAUAUUGCACAAUGGGGGAAACCCUGAUGCAGCCAUGCCGCGUGUGUGAAGAAGGCCUUCGGGUUGUAAAGCACUUUCAGUAGGGAGGAAGGUAGUGUAGUUAACACCUGCAUUAUUUGACGUUACCUACAGAAGAAGCACCGGCUAACUCCGUGCCAGCAGCCGCGGUAAGUACGGAGGGUGCGAGCGUUAAUCGGAAUUACGUGGGCGUAAAGCGCAUGCAGGCGGCCUGUUAAGUCAGAUGUGAAAGCCCGGGGUCUUAACCGUCGGAAUUGCAUUUGAAACUGGCAGGCUAGAGUCUUGGUAGAGGGGGUUAGAAUUUCGAGGUGUAGCGGUAGAAAUGCGUAGAGAUCUAGAAGGAAUACCAGUGCGAAGGCGGCCCCUGGACAAAGACUGACGCUCAGAUGCGAAAGCGUGGGAG
This 446-nucleotide ribosomal RNA is filed under the name uncultured bacterium. RNAcentral describes it as "bacterial SSU rRNA". It matches the Rfam family "Bacterial small subunit ribosomal RNA", at positions 335 to 767 of the family's 1533-position model. The record is from RNAcentral.